UUUGGCAUUUUCCCAAAAGCGGAGGAAAAGAAACCAACAGGGAUUGCCUCAGUAACGGCGAGUGAAGCGGCAACAGCUCAAAUUUGAAAUCUGGCCUCUUGGGGUCCGAGUUGUAAUUUGUAGAGGAUGUUUCGGGUACCGCCUCGGUUUAAAUUUCUUGGAACAGAAUGUCAAAGAGGGUGAGAAUCCCGUCUUGGACCGGCGGUAGGGCCUAUGUGAAACUCCUUCGACGAGUCGAGUUGUUUGGGAAUGCAGCUCAAAAUGGGUGGUAAAUUUCAUCUAAAGCUAAAUAUUGGCCAGAGACCGAUAGCGCACAAGUAGAGUGAUCGAAAGAUGAAAAGCACUUUGAAAAGAGAGUUAAACAGUAUGUGAAAUUGUUGAAAGGGAAGCGCUUGCAACCAGACUUGAGCGCGGCGGUUCCCCCUUGCUUCUGCUUGGGUUACUCCGCCGUGUCCAGGCCAACAUCGGUUCUGGGGGUCGGUCAAAGGCUCUGGGAAUGUAUCUACCCACGGGUAGACUUAUAGACCAGGGUGUCAUGCGACCUCCCGGGACCGAGGAACGCGCUUCGGCUCGGAUGUUGGCGUAAUGGUUGUCAGCGACCCGUCUUGAAAACCCGGGACCAAA
RNAcentral lists this ribosomal RNA (624 nucleotides) under Fonsecaea pedrosoi. Its description in RNAcentral is "partial large subunit ribosomal RNA". It matches the Rfam family "Eukaryotic large subunit ribosomal RNA", at positions 34 to 664 of the family's 3401-position model. The record is from RNAcentral. Lineage: Eukaryota; Fungi; Ascomycota; Eurotiomycetes; Chaetothyriales; Herpotrichiellaceae.